AUAAUAGGUGGUUUGUAGGAGAAGGCACUGCGUGAGGAAUGGGGAUCAAUUAGUCGCGGCCAUGGCAAUUGCAGUGUUUUUCUCGGACCAGGUCAGCAUGCAUAGCACUCGGUUCGCUUUUUGACAAAUUAACCAUCAGGUCAGCAGAACUGUUCGGCCGGUUGCUGCAUCGCAUUCGCAUCCACCAUCGUCAGCUUAGUUAUCUCCAGUCCACUUCUCCAGGGAGAUACGGCUCGAAAUGCUCGAUGAAUGACGAUGGAGUGGGAGAUGUUUGGUCCAAAUAAAAUGAUGGGCCACGAAGCAAGCUACAAGGCCCGACUGCACAUGGGCUUUAGUCCUCGCACCCCGAGAAACGAAGCCUCUCCUCCUUGGCCUUGAGCCCUUGAGCAUUCAUCGUCCGACUCCGACGGCUUCUAUUGCAGUUGCAGGUUGGCGAAUCACGAACUUCAUAUCAAACCGACAAAUUGGUUGGAGCAAAUGUUGUUUAGCUUUUGUGAGGAAAGAGGCGGCGGCGGCGGCGGUGAUUGUUUAGCAGGAGAAGAUCCCCUUCUGCACUCAUCGAACGGCCGCCGCCACCUAGAUCAGUUGGGAGGUACGAUCGAUUUAUUUACCUUCGCAGCUUAGCAGCUGAUUUACGAUUUAUCUGCCUUGUCAUCGAAGAGCGGUCGUGAUACCUUAUUGGAUUUGCGUGUUGGGAGUAAAUCUGUCCCAUUCCCGCUUCAUAGCCGCAUGAAACGAAACAUUGAAACCAUUAUGUAUAAUCCAACAAGGACACGGUGCAGGUGUUUUGUACGAUGCAUAUGCAUCCGUCCGUCCCUUAUGUUUUGUGCACCAGUUGCUGUCUUGUAGAUUCAUGAUUUGGCAGCAGGGUGUAGGCACGCUUAGCUGAUGGCAAAACAUUCCUGGGCAUUUGCCAAUCCCAGCAACAAUCACUUGUGACAAAAAUCGUUGUAUUUAUAUGCUUGUGUACAGAAUCACAAUAAGGUAUAGCCGGAGGAGAACACUAGACUCUCUCAAAUACACUCUACCAAUCUACAUGCCCUACUUAUUGUAAUUUCAUCACUUAUUUCGCUGAAUCGUGAUGGGCCGACAGCGCAGCUGUUCCGAGGAUCACCCAGGUCCUGCCAUGGAGGAUAUGUCGAUGCUGCUGGUCUUUGGAAUAACUCAUUCGGUUUCACUUCCUCUCUUUGCUGCUAUCUUGGCAGAAGGAGCCAAUCUCAAGCUUAUAAGCUUGUCACUCUUGAUGAAUCAAGUCAGAUUUAAUUUGCAAGGUCUUUUGCUAACUCUUCCUAGGUCCAGUUGAACCCAUUCAAGUCAAUUUUCUUGCAGUUCUGUGGCCCAUCAGUGGUAUCAUUGAUGUUCAGAUCCAGUUUUGCUGCCUUCCGUGUCAUACUAAAACUUCCUCUCUCACGCCUGUCUAGUUGGCCUGGAGGCGUCAUGCUUAGCUUGUCAAGAAACAAAUCCUCUCUUCCUCUUUCUUUCUCUUGUAUAUCAAAGGUCAUGCCUCCUAUCUCCUUUCCUCUGUGAGCGGAAAGACUGAUUGACAGGAUAUCUUGAUCUUUCUGUGAGCCGUCACAGGCAGUUAAGCAGCUGUCAACUGACCCAUCGCCAAGUUGGAUGGUAUGGCCUUGUAGAAUUUGGGAACCAUCAAUCUCCUCAAAGCCUGUAAAUGCAUGCUGGAGGCAUUCUGUCGAUACUUUUGAGACUAAUUCUGACAGUUGCAUCUUCGCGGUUUCUACACCGACUGACCCUGCAUUCUGCUUUGAAAGUGUCUCCUGUGCCUUUUCUAGCACAGAUUGUAGGUACUUCCCUUGUGCUUCAAUGCGGAGUUGCAAAUGUCUUUGUACCUGUUGAAAGGCGUCGUUUAUGUGUAAGGUUUAAGUGGCUAGCUGGUGAUCCAUUUCCUUCAAGUGGUUUGUCCAUUGCCAUGGUGCAACCAAUCACUGAAGAGCAGAAAGGGCAUUCAGUAUUAAGCUUAAUUGGAGGCCGAUAACUGCUAGUUUAUCAGUCCUUAGUUUUUGGUGAAGGGUUGCUCGUCACACAAUGGUGUUAUAUUCCUUGGGGGAAUGCUCUAACAAACUAUGGCUACUCAUGCCAAGAUGUUAUGCAGAGUCUGGUUUUAUAAGGAAGACAAGUGAGGAGAGAAUUUCGAAUCGUUAGAACAAACACUCAAGCCUGGACCAAUCCUGGCAGCAACUGAAAAGAGGGAAACGGAAAGUGGGUAGACGAAUCCGAUGGGCUGUGCAUCUGUAUGGAGUCCUCUGAGUUUGGCUACUAUCUGUUCUACAUAAGGCGCAGAAAGUUGGGGCUUAAAAAUGACGGCGAGCGCGCACGCGAUCCCGCGGGAAGGGAAUAAGGAAAAGCGAUGUUGACAAAGCUGGAUGGGAAUCCUGCGCUUUUUUGGAGGCGAAGAUGAGAAGGAAUAUAUCGCCUGUGUCGACCUCGCCGGCCUGCUUCUUCUGUUCCGUGGCUUGGUUGUGCUCCCGCUGGAUCGUGCCAGCCGCCAGCAGGAUGAUGAGCACGUGUGAACCCUGGCGUGGGUAUGUUGUUGUUUGCUCUGGGAGUGUUUUGCUCAGUAGUCGUUCUUUGUUUAUUUGUACAAACUCGUCCAUUUGUGUCGGUUGCAGAAAUACGAAAACACUUCAAAUGGUACGAAUUGGAAUUUGGAAAGUACAGAGUAUAGACCGCUGGAUAAGCUGUUUUUAUUGUUUGGCGUAAUGAACUGGUGAUCCAUAUGUUCGCCUUAAAAAAAAAGACCUGAUGGUUCAAGUAUC
Zea mays is the source of this 2774-nucleotide long non-coding RNA. RefSeq lists it as uncharacterized. NCBI's taxonomy places the organism in Eukaryota, Viridiplantae, Streptophyta, Magnoliopsida, Poales, Poaceae. The transcript has 5 exons. The record is from RefSeq and is a predicted model, not a curated record.